GGCUAGAGUUUGAUCAUGGCUCAGGAUAAACGCUGGCGGCGCACAUAAGACAUGCAAGUCGAACGGACUUAACUCAUUCUUUUAGAUUGAGAGCGGUUAGUGGCGGACUGGUGAGUAACACGUAAGCAACCUGCCUAUUAGAGGGGAAUAACAGUGAGAAAUCAUUGCUAAUACCGCAUAUGCUAACAGUAUCGCAUGAUACAGUUAGGAAAGGAGCAAUCCGCUAAUAGAUGGGCUUGCGUCUGAUUAGCUAGUUGGUGGGGUAACGGCCUACCAAGGCGACGAUCAGUAGCCGGACCGAGAGGUUGAACGGCCACAUUGGGACUGAGAUACGGCCCAGACUCCUACGGGAGGCAGCAGUCGGGAAUAUUGCGCAAUGGAGGAAACUCUGACGCAGUGACGCCGCGUAUAGGAAGAAGGUUUUCGGAUUGUAAACUAUUGUCGUUAGGGAAGAUACAAGACAGUACCUAAGGAGGAAGCCCCGGCUAACUAUGUGCCAGCAGCCGCGGUAAUACAUAGGGGGCAAGCGUUAUCCGGAUUUAUUGGGUGUAAAGGGUGCGUAGAUGGAGGAGCAAGUUGGUUGUGAAAUCCCUCGGCUCAACUGAGGAACUGCAACCAAAACUACUUCCCUUGAGUGUCGGAGAGGAAAGUGGAAUUCCUAGUGUAGCGGUGAAAUGCGUAGAUAUUAGGAGGAACACCAGUGGCGAAGGCGACUUUCUGGACGAUAACUGACAUUGAGGCACGAAAGUGUGGGGAGCAAACAGGAUUAGAUACCCUGGUAGUCCACACUNGUAACGAUGGAUACUAGGUGUAGGAUGUAUUAAGCAUUCUGUGCCGCCCGCUACGCAUUAAGUAUCCCACCUGGGGAGUACGACCGC
This 878-nucleotide ribosomal RNA is filed under the name uncultured bacterium. RNAcentral describes it as "bacterial SSU rRNA". It matches the Rfam family "Bacterial small subunit ribosomal RNA", at positions 1 to 889 of the family's 1533-position model. The record is from RNAcentral.